Acanthosepion pharaonis is the source of this 113-nucleotide non-coding RNA. Lineage: Eukaryota; Metazoa; Mollusca; Cephalopoda; Sepiida; Sepiidae. The record is from the annotation of a GenBank genome assembly.
UUACGGCCACAUCAUGUGCAAACAUCGGUUCUCAUACGAUCAUCGAAGUUAAGCAACGUUGAGCUGGGUCAGUAUCUAGAUGGGUUACCGCUUUGGAAUACCAGGAUCUGUAA